CCUACGGGUGACAGCAGUCGAGAAUCAUUCACAAUGGGGAAAACCCUGAUGGUGCGACGCCGCGUUGGGGAAUGAAGGUCUUCGGAUUGUAAACCCCUGUCAUGUGGGAGCAAAUUAAAAAGAUAGUACCACAAGAGGAAGAGACGGCUAACUCUGUGCCAGCAGCCGCGGUAAUACAGAGGUCUCAAGCGUUGUUCGGAAUCACUGGGCGUAAGGCGUGCGUAGGCUGUUUCGUAAGUCGUGUGUGAAAGGCGCGGGCUCAACCCGCGGACGGCACAUGAUACUGCGAGACUAGAGUAAUGGAGGGGGAACCGGAAUUCUCGGUGUAGCAGUGAAAUGCGUAGAUAUCGAGAGGAACACUCGUGGCGAAGGCGGGUUCCUGGACAUUAACUGACGCUGAGGCACGAAGGCCAGGGGAGCGAAAGGGAUUAGAUACCCGGGUAGUC
Molecule: ribosomal RNA, 446 nt
Filed under: uncultured bacterium
Lineage: Bacteria
Description: partial 16S ribosomal RNA
Rfam family: Bacterial small subunit ribosomal RNA
Source: RNAcentral